Molecule: long non-coding RNA, 411 nt
Organism: Neofelis nebulosa (Clouded leopard)
Lineage: Eukaryota; Metazoa; Chordata; Mammalia; Carnivora; Felidae
Exons: 3
Source: RefSeq, a predicted model, not a curated record
UCCAAGCAGUGUUCAGUGAGCUCUGGUUAGUGGCUCAGUGGGAAGCACAGGGUUGUAGAUGGGUCAUAGACUGGUGGGAACAUACACUUCUCUGCUAUAAGUUCAUGAUUUAUUUAGCUAAAAACACAGAGCAUGUAAGGUGGCUGUUCAGUAGCAGUAGAUGCAACCUGUUUUUCUGUGGCUUUUCCUUCGCCCUUGGGUUUGCAACUAAGAGCACAGCAAAGUGAACUCAGGGAAUAUUUACCUCCAUUAGACACUCUUGGUUGUUGAGCCAAACUCAGCAUUAUCAAGAAUUCCUCCUCACCUAGACAAAAUGGGGAAAUGCAAAAGUCAAAAACACAAAUAAUGAAUUUCAGGAGAGUCAAGGCAUUUCUUGCAAGAUACAUGGCGAUGUUCUUCUAUGUCAGAUUA